UGGGGAAUAUUGGACAAUGGGCGCAAGCCUGAUCCAGCCAUGCCGCGUGAGUGAUGAAGGCCCUAGGGUUGUAAAGCUCUUUCACCGGUGAAGAUAAUGACGGUAACCGGAGAAGAAGCCCCGGCUAACUUCGUGCCAGCAGCCGCGGUAAUACGAAGGGGGCUAGCGUUGUUCGGAUUUACUGGGCGUAAAGCGCACGUAGGCGGACUUUUAAGUCAGGGGUGAAAUCCCGGGGCUCAACCCCGGAACUGCCUUUGAUACUGGAAGUCUUGAGUAUGGUAGAGGUAGGUGGAAUUCCGAGUGUAGAGGUGAAAUUCGUAGAUAUUCGGAGGAACACCAGUGGCGAAGGCGGCUCACUGGACCAUUACUGACGCUGAGGUGCGAAAGCGUGGGGAGCAAACAGG
Molecule: ribosomal RNA, 404 nt
Filed under: Actinomycetes bacterium
Lineage: Bacteria; Bacillati; Actinomycetota; Actinomycetes
Description: Actinobacteria bacterium partial 16S ribosomal RNA
Rfam family: Bacterial small subunit ribosomal RNA
Source: RNAcentral